GACGAACGCUGGCGGCGUGCUUAACACAUGCAAGUCGAACGGGUCUGCCCUGUUUUUUGCGGGGUGGGUCAGUGGCGAACGGGUGAGUAACACGUGAGUAACCUGCCCCUCACUUCUGGAUAACCGCUUGAAAGGGUGGCUAAUACGGGGUGUUCUGGCUGUGCCGCAUGGUGUGGCUGGGAAAGAUUCACUUUUGUGGUGUUUUGGUGGGGGAUGGGCUCGCGGCCUAUCAGCUUGUUGGUGGGGUGAUGGCCUGCCAAGGCUUUGACGGGUAGCCGGCCUGGGAGGGUGGGCGGUCACACUGGGACUGAGAUACGGCCCAGACUCCGGCGGGAGGCAGCAGUGGGGGGUAUUGCACAAUGGGCGGAAGCCUGAUGCAGCGACGUCGCGUGAGGGAUGGAGGCCUGCGGGUUGUGAACCUCUUUCGCCGGUGAAGAAGGUCCUGCUCUUUGUGGUGGGGUUGACGGUAGCCGGGUUAUGAAGCGCCGGCUAACUACGUG
Molecule: ribosomal RNA, 500 nt
Filed under: uncultured bacterium
Lineage: Bacteria
Description: partial 16S ribosomal RNA
Rfam family: Bacterial small subunit ribosomal RNA
Source: RNAcentral